Molecule: long non-coding RNA, 329 nt
Organism: Neopsephotus bourkii (Bourke's parrot)
Lineage: Eukaryota; Metazoa; Chordata; Aves; Psittaciformes; Psittacidae
Exons: 3
Source: RefSeq, a predicted model, not a curated record
AAUGUAGUGUUCACAAGCAGACCAAGAUGUUAUGAAGCUGUGAAAUUCACUGGGACAUAAAAAUUUUAAAACCAUCAAGCUUUAACUUCACCCUAAAUAUUUUCUCAGCCUGAAGAGGGACUAAUCCAGUGCACAUAACUUACCAAGACUACUCUGAAAAACUAAGAACUGAACAGAGCAUGUAUCCUGGACCAGAUUUUCAUCUAGGAGGUGGCUGAAACACUCCGCAUAAAUUCCAGGAAGGGACUCAACUGCGUGGGAGCAGGUUUCAAAGGCAAGUGUAAUAUGACAGGAAUGAGCAGCAAAACAGCACUAAGGAUCCAUCACAG